RNAcentral lists this ribosomal RNA (503 nucleotides) under uncultured bacterium. RNAcentral's name for it is "bacterial SSU rRNA". It matches the Rfam family "Bacterial small subunit ribosomal RNA", at positions 28 to 534 of the family's 1533-position model. The record is from RNAcentral.
GACGAACGCUGGCGGCGUGCCUAACACAUGCAAGUCGAGCGGGGUUGAAGCGAGGGGUAACUCGAGUUUCUACCUAGCGGCGGACGGGUGAGUAACGCGUGGGCAACCUGCCUCAAGGACUGGGAUAACAGCUCGAAAGGGCUGCUAAUACCGGAUAAGCCUAUGGCCUCGCAUGGGGCCAUGAGCAAAGGGGAAACCCGCCUUGAGAUGGGCCCGCGUCCCAUCAGCUAGUUGGUGAGGUGAAGGCUCACCAAGGCGACGACGGGUAGCCGGCCUGAGAGGGUGACCGGCCACACUGGGACUGAGACACGGCCCAGACUCCUACGGGGGGCAGCAGUGGGGAAUCUUGCACAAUGGGCGAAAGCCUGAUGCAGCGACGCCGCGUGAGCGAAGAAGGCCUUCGGUUGUAAAGCUCUGUCUGGAGGGACGAAGGAAGUGACGGUACCUCCGGAGGAAGCCACGGCUAACUACGUGCCAGCAGCCGCGGUAAAACGUAGACGUGG